AUGAAUGAUCAUGUAAAAAGAAUUAUACUAAAUGUUGAAAUCCUCAUAUAUGCAAGGCAUAACAAACAGAUAUGUGGUGAUCUGGGUGGCAUAACAAACAGAUACGUCCACUUCCUCAUGGAGCUCGUCCAGAACGCUGAAGACAAUGACUACCCUGAUGGAGUAGCACCUUCAUUGGAGUUUCUAGUAACAUCAACUGACAUCACCAGAUCUGGUGCAUCGUCAACUUUACUCAUUUUCAACAAUGAGAAGGGCUUCUCUCCAUCCAAUAUUCAGUCUAUUUGUGGUGUGGGCAAAUCAACGAAAAAAGGAAACAGGGACAAGGGGUACAUUGGAGAGAAAGGUAUUGGAUUCAAAAGUGUGUUCCUGAUAUCAAGCCAGCCCCAUAUAUUCAGUAAUGGGUAUCAAAUCAAGUUUAAUGAGAUGCCAUGUCCAGAAUGCAAUAUUGGAUACAUUGUCCCGGAGUGGGUUGAAUCCAGGCCUAGCCUUUCAGAUAUCAAACAGACAUAUGGGUCUACCAGAGACCUUCCAACAACCUGUAUCGUCCUGCCUUUGAAGGAUGAGAAGGUCACUGCGGUGAAGCAGCAGCUGUCAAGCUUGCAUCCAGAAAUGCUACUGUUUCUGUCAAAGAUCAGGCGGCUUUCUGUCCGUGAAGAUAACGGCAACACUAGAGGCAGCACUGUUAGUGAGAUUGCAAUAUCGAGUGAGAAGAACUUUGAAGUGAGGAAGAACAUGCACGCGGAGUCUUACACGGUCUUUUUAUCUGCUCAAGAGAAUGAGAGUGAAGCAGAGUGCGGGUACCAUAUGUGGAGGCAGAGGUUCCUUGUCAAAGCAGAGAACAGGGUGGACAAGCGUACUGAAAUCGAUGAGUGGGUCAUCACCCUAGCCUUCCCUCUUAAGGAGCGACUAUCUCGUGGGAAGCAGCUAUCCCCUGGCGUAUAUGCUUUCCUUCCCACGGAGAUGGUAACGAACUUCCCCUUCAUCAUUCAGGCUGACUUCCUCCUUGCAUCGUCAAGAGAGGCGAUACUAUUCGAUAGUCCAUGGAACAAGGGAAUUCUGGAGUGUAUCCCAAGUGCAUUCAUGAAUGCCUUUGUAGCACUUGUCAAGUCCAGAACAGAUGCACCAGCAAUGACUAUUCCGUCGAUGUUCCAUUACCUGCCAGUCAGUCCUUCGCUGAUCCCUUUACUUGAGCCUGUUAGGUCUGGCAUCAAAGAGAAGGUUCUCGUUGAGGAUAUAGUUCCAUGUGAGUCUCACGCUCCACAGAAGAUGUUUUGCAAGCCUUGCGAGGUUGCGCGGCUCAAACCAGCAUUUUGGGAUAUCCUUGUCAAGGCGAGAGAAUCUGGAGUGGACCUUAAGAACCUGUCAACCCAUGGAACCUACAUUCUCAGCUCUCAUUUCGACAAGAGUGCAUACAACAGUGUUCUUACAUUUCUGGAUGUCAAAAGUGUGAGCCAUGAAUGGUAUGCAAAAUGCAUCGAGGGGUCUAAUCUUGUCAGCAAUGUAGAUGAACAGCUUUAUCUUGAACUUGUAUCUUUUGUCGCAGACAGUUGGCAAAGCUUUUCCAGUACAAAGAUGAUGCAAAUUCCUCUGCUGAAGUAUGUUGACAGGAACAAAAAUGUAUCUGUCUGGAGCAUAUCUAGAGCUAGUCAGUGGAGUGAUAGACUGUGUAUUGCAUCUGAUCGGAAGUGGAUGUCAUGGCUUAUCAGCUGGAACCAGGAGUUUCCAUCUUCUAACCGGUUUUUUGUGCCUCCCAGUACACAAACAGCUCUGCAAGGUUUCGCGCAGAAGGAAAAAGUGACAUACUGGCUUCAGAGCCAUGCAAAAGUGGAGAUUGUAUCUGUAUACACUUACGGGGAUAUUGUGGUCAAGUCCUUGAACUGUGAUCGAAGGCCUGCCAUCGCCUUUUCUCACUUUCUGUAUCAUUCAUCCAAUAAGAACUACAUGGAGAGCUAUCAGUUAGCAGACCUGUGUCGUACCAUGCCGGUAAUUGACAACUAUGGCAAUGCAGUUACGGAAAGACAAAGCAUUCUAGUUCCUGCAAAUGGUAGCAAAUGGGUUGGACUGAUGGGCACAAACCCAUGGAGGAAUGAGAAAUACAUCGAACUGUCAGCAGAUUACAAGUCAGCAGGUCAUUUCGCCGGGUACUACACACCGGCAGAUUGGAUCUUGGAUUUUCUCAAGACAAAGAUGCAGGCCUCGGAUGUGCCGUUCAUACACCCUCCAAAUGCAAGUUUCCCGACAGUCUCAUCACCUCUGACUGACAAUGCAAUCUUGCUACUGCAAUGGAUAAGGAAUUUGAAGGCAAAAGGUGUACAACUACCAGCUAGUUUCUUGGCUUGUGUGAAACAAGGAAGUUGGCUGAAGACAUCAGUCGGAUACAAGCCCCCGGCUGAAUCAUUUAUGUCCAGUUCCGAGUGGGGUAAUCUCUUGCAAAAUGGGUCUUCCUGUGUUGAUAUACCAAUGAUCGAUCAACAGUUCUAUCAAUACAAAAUGAAUGCAUAUAGGGAGGAACUCAAGGUGAUCGGGGUAAGAUUUGAAUUUGGGGAGGCAUCAGCUUACAUCGGCAGACGGCUCAUGUCGAUGGCGGCAAGCAAUAUGCUGACCAGACAGCAUGUAUAUGAGCUGCUUCGGCUGAUUCGGUUUCUUCAACAGAAGGUUCUGUCACCAAGUGAACUAGUCAACAGCGUGAAAGAUGGACAAUGGAUGAAGAGUACUCUGGGCUACAGGUCCCCUUCUUGCUGUAUCAUAUAUGAUUCAGACUGGGCAGUUGCAUCUUGUAUCAGUACCCAGCCAUUCCUUGAUGUUGGAUUCUAUGGCGAGUCCAUCCUUGACUACAAACAAGAGCUGAAGUUGCUUGGUGUUCAAGUUGGGUUUGAAAACAGUGAAAAGACUUACAAGCUUAUAAUUGAUAAUUUCAAGUUCAGUUCUUCAUCUAUCACUUCUGAUGCUACUGCACUAAUCCUCAAGUGCAUCCGGUAUGCUAGCCCAUGUGAUGAUUUCUUGAGGAAGCUCAGAGAUUUGAAAUGGUUGAAGACCAAUGUGGGAUUCCGUGCUCCUAGUGAAUCUUUUCUUCUAGAUCCAGAAUGGGAGUGCCUGGUAAAGGUGUUCGAUGGAGUUCCUGUAGUUGAUUCUGGAUUUUAUGGCAGUAAGAUAAGCCCGUACAAAGAAGAGUUGAAGAAGACAGGGUUGAUCACAGGAUUUGACCAGGCAUCAAAGGCUAUAGCAAACAUUUUCAAGCAGAUGGAGAAGUCAUCGCUUACAAAGGCGAAUGUCCUGGCUCUGCUAGCAUGUUAUGGGCAGCUGAGAACACACAACCCAAAUCCUGUUGAUCUUUUCAACUCCAUGCGAAAUGAGAAAUGGGUGUGCACAUCACUGGGAUUUAGGUCACCUUCGGAUGCAAUCUUAUUUGACGAAAGUUGGCAGUCUCUGUCACCCAUUGCAAAAUUACCUUUCAUCAAUGAUGGUGACUCUAAUGGUGGUUUAGGCAAAGAGAUACAUGGUUACAAGGCUGAGCUGAAAGAACUAGGUGUUACAACAGAAGUGAAAGCCCAUGGUGCUAGGUUUGUCAUCGAUGGUCUCAAGAUUCCUGCAGACACUGCAGAUAUUUCUGCAGCCACCGUGUUGUCGUUGCUUGGGUCUGUUAAGAGCUGCUUGGCCUGUAUGGCAACAUUGCCCAAGGAAUUUAUGAAGGAAAUCACUAGCUGCAAGUGGUUGAAGACAACACUUGGAUACCAAUCUCCUGAUGGAUGCAUACUCUUUGAUCCCAAGCAGUCUUCCAUCUGCAUAACAGAUGGCCCUUUCAUCGAUGAAUCUUUCUAUGGUUCAGAGAUCGCCUCAUUCAAGGAUGCACUGGCGGCAAUCGGAGUAACUGUGGAUGUUAGAUGUGGGCAUGGCCUUGUUGCUCAGCAUCUGAGGAGCCACAAAGAAACUGCUACCAUUUCCAGGAUCUACUUGUACCUCAAGGAGUGCAGCUGGGAGCCUGAGAAGAAGAACAAAGAGGGCACUGACUGGAUUUGGAUACGAAAUAAAAGGGGAAGUGGAGAAUGGGUGAGCCCGCUGAGCUGUGUUCUUCAUGAUCAGAACAACCUCUUCAGCCAGCAGCUGCAUGUCCUAGACAGAUACUAUGAUGACAGGAAGCUGCUGGAGUUCUUCUCAUCUGUUUUCAGCGUGAGGCAUGGCCCUGAUGCCGAAGACCACUGUAAGCUCUGGAGCGCAUGGGAGAGCUCUGGCGGUGAGAUAUCCGUAACCAAUUGCUCUGCUUUCUGGCAAUUCAUGGCAAGGAACUGGAGCGAGAGCAUGGAGAGGCUUUUCUCUGGCUGCGUGAAGGUCCCAGUUUGCACUGAUGGGAAGAUCAUCUUAUCGCAGAAGGAGGACGUGUUCAUUCCUGACGAUCUGCUGCUUAAGGAUCUGUUCGACAAGCUUCCUCGACAAUCCAUUUUUAUCUGGUACCCUCCUUCCGUCUCUCGAGCAAGGCUCAACAACAUAUAUGGCAGCAUCGGUGUUCAGGCAGUAUCCAAAGCUGUCAAGAAGAGCGAUUCUUUUGUCACCGAUGGCGGUUGCAAAACGGUUGCUGACCAGCGUGAGGUGAUCAGUGCCGGUCUGCUCCAGAUAGUCCUUGCCUUCCUUGCUGAUCCUGCUCUGGACAUUUCCUCCAAAGAGCGGCACGCGAUGGUCUCAUCUCUGCUGAAUGUGAGCGUCCUGGAGACCAAGGAGCCGAUCAUGGUGGGGUACCGCGUGAAGCUGUCUUCCGGAGAGGCUGUGGACGUGGAGGCCAGCCGGAUAAUCAGGUGGGAGAGGGAGAGCUCAAAGCUGUAUGUUCAGCAAAGCAAUGGUGCUGGUGCUGCAGCUGGUUACAAAGAGAAGAUCGAGUUUGCGACGAACUUUGCUGACGAGAUAGCCCGAGGACUGCUGUUUGAGACGCCAGACCGCAUCCCUUCGCUUGCUGAACUCGUGAAGGUCGGCAGCCUGGUGGACUUCCAGGACGAUGCUGUCAAGUACCUGCUGAAGUCGAAGAAUCUGCAGCUGUUCCCUGAAGACGAGGCAUUCCUGAACGCUGCAUCACUAGGUCUGUCCCUCCCUGACAAACUCAGAGAGUUCAUCUCACUAUAG
This 5109-nucleotide ribosomal RNA is filed under the name Triticum aestivum (bread wheat). RNAcentral describes it as "partial small subunit ribosomal RNA". The record is from RNAcentral. Lineage: Eukaryota; Viridiplantae; Streptophyta; Magnoliopsida; Poales; Poaceae.